This is a long non-coding RNA of Peromyscus eremicus (cactus mouse), 1766 nucleotides long. RefSeq lists it as uncharacterized. NCBI's taxonomy places the organism in Eukaryota, Metazoa, Chordata, Mammalia, Rodentia, Cricetidae. The record is from RefSeq and is a predicted model, not a curated record. The transcript has 3 exons.
CUGACUGUGGGCAAGGCAGGAAAACUCUAGCUACAUGACCCUGUGACAUUGGGAACCAAAAUGAAUUGUUUUCUCCCUUAAGUUGUUUCUACCAAGUAUUUGGGUCACAGCAACACAAAAAGUAACUAACACAAGAAUGGCAGCCCCAUGAGGUCUGUGAAUCAAGCCAGGCAUCUCCGUCAUUCUGCUCAUCACACCCCAUCUGACCAUGAAGUUCUGUUCAUCUACAUCAGGGCAUCUCAUAACACCCCAUCUGACCGUCAAGUUCUGUUCAUCUACAUCAGGGUGUCUGUUCAUAACACCCCAUCUGACCGUCAAGUUCUGUUCAUCUACAUCAGGGUGUCUGUUCAUAACACCCCAUCUGACCGUCAAGCUCUGUUCAUCUACAUCAGGGCAUCUCAUAACACCCCAUCUGACCGUCAAGUUCUGUUCAUCUACAUCAGGGCGUCUCAUUUGUCUUUCUACUUCUGCAUCUCAACUACUACGACCUUGAGAGUCCAAACCAUCUCUCACCUACAGGCCCCUAACAGAUCUCCCUGGUUCCUUCCCUGCCUUCUCCAACAUUCUCCAGACAGCUAAAAAGCUAAUCUGCUUAAAUUCCAUCUGUAACUACCCAUUUUCACUGGUUAAGAUCUAAACACCUAAGUAAGAUCCUUCAUGAUCUAACCUCACUUACCUUUCCAGGCCAGUCUCCACUCUUACAUCCCAUCUUACCUACUCAGGCCACACCUUCUCUCAGCUGUUAGUUCAUAUGCUCACUUCUUCCCUCCACACGCCUUUUGUCUCUCAGGCAUAUGCUUCCUCUGGCCAGCCCCAUCUCAUCUGCCACAGACAUCUGUUGUUUCUGCCUGCCAAGCAUCUUUCCUCUGGCCUCUUCUUAAAACCAUCUCUCCCUCAUUCUCACUGUAGGUGGUUUGACUUAAACUGCCAACUUCCGAGCAUCCCAGUCCAGGGCCAUGAAUGUGAACACAUGACACAGACCAUCAAGGUACUCUAUCCACAAUUCACCAACCCAUAACUCAAGUCAGACUUAAUCAGAAUUAAUCGGAAGGAGAUUUCUGGAAAUCCUGGAACAGAGACACUGUCAGUCAGAUGAUGAGUCAUAUCCUUGUUCUAAAUGCCGAAAGACAACUUUUACAUAUAUUGUUCUUCCUGAUUUUUUUGCCCUUCGGUUAAAGAUCACCAUGUCCACAAGCUCCUCCUAUCCAUGUUUUUCUCACCACUCAUCUACCCUUUUGCUGUUAACGCUAUUUUGAAAACAAACAUCCAGCCAGGAGAUGCUCCAACACUCCCAGCUUUUUCUGGGAGCCUGUUAGGAACAUAGCUCAGUCCCCAUCCCAGACCAAAAGGAUCAGAAUCUUCACUUCAACCUUGUCCUCACAUGAUUCCGCCACAUCUGAGGAGCAGCUGUUCACCCGCACAAAAUCUAGAGGCAUCUGUCCUGUUCAAAUUAUUGCUUAUUACCCAUUUGUUUCCUUGAGUUUGUUACAUCUGAACACAGGACUUUAUACAUCUAAUACAGACAGUGACUACUGUGUUACCUGAUAAAUUCACAGGAAAUCAGAUUACAUGCAUGCUGAAAAGUUGGUGGUAAAUCUGUGUUCCAAGUGACUGCUAAAGAACCCAUCAAUUGCCAACAGAAUCCAGACAAAGAAUACCUCAGGCAACAUGGAUAUUGCACCUAGGAACUGUCCUGGGUGACUAAGAUGAACAGCAAUGGUAUACACCUAAACUAAAUAAAUAAAGCACUGUUUUAAAGCUGCUGA